UAACUCUUGACAAGGUUACCAAUGAUUUCCAUGUUCCUAAAUCCCACACUCAAUUCUCAGUCCUCAUAUUAUUUUCCUAUAAGCUGCAUUUGACAUAAUUUGAUCAUUUACUCCUUGGCUUCUGUCUCCUUCCCUUUUGGCUGCUUUUUCUUGGCAUACUUUGCUUGAUCAUCCUUAUCAUCCAGAUAUCUUGAGUGUUGGAACCCCCGGUGGCUUAGUUCUAGAAUUUUUUCCUUAUAUUUUCUUAUUGCAAGGCAUGUGACUUUCUGCUUGAGGACUUUCUCUGGCCACAGGAGUGUGCUCUACCUGUAACUCGGGUGGGCUGCCACUGAAAUUUAGUACUGUUAGAUCAGCCCUUAAUCAAUAAUUGACAGAAAUUAGUGGAUAAAUAUCCCGACUUCUUUACUGCUUCAGAGAGAUGACAUUAGGACAUGUUCUAUAGUUUCUUGGAAUUCUCCUUCAGCUGGAUCGAGCUUCAGUUGCACACAGAAGUAAACUUUUUGUUUAUUAAUGCAUGCUGUAUUGGCUUUCUUCCCUUUUCUGUCUCACUUCUCUAUUUUCCAAUUGGUGCUUCCUGGGGUCACCUCUUGUUUAAACUUGGGCAUUUAAACUUGGAUAUUAAACAGAUUCUGAGACAGAGAUGUGUGUGCAAGAGGUUUAUUGAGGAGUGAUCUCAGGAAUGACAUUAGUAAAGUUGUGAGAGAAGCAGGAUUGGUCACAGGGAGAAGCCGAACUACAAUGCAAAAGAACCAUUGGUAUUAGCUGACUCUGUGGGGAGCUUUAUAACUAGGAUGUCCUUCAGAGUUAAGGCAAAAGGGUCAGGGGCUUGUAUCUUGCAUAGACCAGUCAUUGUAUGCAACUUGUCCCUGGGAAGGGGCUAUAACCUAGACAAGAUAGCUCUUAUUGGCUAAGGGCAAUGUUCAGAGAAGGACUCAGCAGUGAGCCAUCAGCAGCAAUACUCCUGACAACUGGGAAAAUGAGCAAUGGCUUCACUGCUCAGGUGAUUAUCCUGAACCAUCCAGG
Molecule: long non-coding RNA, 1023 nt
Filed under: Homo sapiens (human)
Lineage: Eukaryota; Metazoa; Chordata; Mammalia; Primates; Hominidae
Description: non-protein coding lnc-DIAPH2-7:1
Source: RNAcentral